GAUGAACGCUGGCGGCGUGCUUAACACAUGCAAGUCGAACGGGAUCUCGGAAGUGCUUGCACUUUUUGGUGAGAGUGGCGAACGGGUGAGUAACACGUGAGUAACCUGUCCUUUUCUUUGGGAUAAGCUCCUGAAAGGGUGUUUAAUACCUUAUGUUCUGUCUGCCUCGCAUGGGGUGGGUGGGAAAGAUUUUUUCGGUGAAGGGUGGGCUCGCGGUCUAUCAGCUUGUUGGUGGGGUGAUGGCUUACCAAGGCUUUGACGGGUAGCCGGCCUGAGAGGGUGGUCGGUCACAUUGGGACUGAGAUACGGCCCAGACUCCUGCGGGAGGCAGCAGUGGGGGAUAUUGCACAAUGGGCGCAAGCCUGAUGCAGCGACGCCGCGUGGGGGAUGAAGGCCUUCGGGUUGUAAACUUCUUUUGCUCUGAACAAGGCGCACCAUGGGGUGUGUUGAGUGUAGGGGUUGAUUAGCGCCGGCUAACUACGUG
RNAcentral lists this ribosomal RNA (484 nucleotides) under uncultured bacterium. Its description in RNAcentral is "partial 16S ribosomal RNA". It matches the Rfam family "Bacterial small subunit ribosomal RNA", at positions 28 to 507 of the family's 1533-position model. The record is from RNAcentral.